This 503-nucleotide ribosomal RNA is filed under the name uncultured bacterium. RNAcentral's name for it is "partial 16S ribosomal RNA". It matches the Rfam family "Bacterial small subunit ribosomal RNA", at positions 30 to 523 of the family's 1533-position model. The record is from RNAcentral.
AUUGAACGCUGGCGGCAGGCUUAACACAUGCAAGUCGAGCGGGGUGAUGGUGCUUGCACUAUCACUUAGCGGCGGACGGGUGAGUAAUGCUUAGGAGUCUGCCUAUUAGUGGGGGACAACAUCUCGAAAGGGAUGCUAAUACCGCAUACGUCCUACGGGAGAAAGCAGGGGAUCACUUGUGACCUUGUGCUAAUAGAUGAGCCUAAGUCGGAUUAGCUAGUUGGUGGGGUAAAGGCCUACCAAGGCGACGAUCUGUAGCGGGUCUGAGAGGAUGAUCCGCCACACUGGGACUGAGACACGGCCCAGACUCCUACGGGAGGCAGCAGUGGGGAAUAUUGGACAAUGGGGGGAACCCUGAUCCAGCCAUGCCGCGUGUGUGAAGAAGGCCUUAUGGUUGUAAAGCACUUUAAGCGAGGAGGAGGCUCUUUUGGUUAAUACCCAAGAUGAGUGGACGUUACUCGCAGAAUAAGCACCGGCUAACUCUGUGCCAGCCGCCGCAGUAA